AUUGAACGCUGGCGGCAUGCCUUACACACGCAAGUCGAACGGUAACAGGUCUUCGGAUGCUGACGAGUGGCGAACGGGUGAGUAAUACAUCGGAACGUGCCUAGUAGUGGGGGAUAACUACUCGAAAGAGCGGCUAAUACCGCAUGAGAUCUACGGAUGAAAGCAGGGGAUCGCAAGACCUUGUGCUACUAGAGCGGCCGAUGGCAGAUUAGGUAGUUGGUGGGAUAAAAGCUUACCAAGCCGACGAUCUGUAGCUGGUCUGAGAGGACGAUCAGCCACACUGGGACUGAGACACGGCCCAGACUCCUACGGGAGGCAGCAGUGGGGAAUUUUGGACAAUGGGCGCAAGCCUGAUCCAGCAAUGCCGCGUGCAGGAUGAAGGCCUUCGGGUUGUAAACUGCUUUUGUACGGAACGAAAAGCCCCGGGUUAAUACCCUGGGGUCAUGACGGUACCGUAAGAAUAAGCACCGGCUAACUACGUGCCAGCAGCCGCAGUAA
This 498-nucleotide ribosomal RNA is filed under the name uncultured bacterium. RNAcentral's name for it is "partial 16S ribosomal RNA". It matches the Rfam family "Bacterial small subunit ribosomal RNA", at positions 30 to 523 of the family's 1533-position model. The record is from RNAcentral.